This 506-nucleotide ribosomal RNA is filed under the name uncultured bacterium. RNAcentral describes it as "partial 16S ribosomal RNA". It matches the Rfam family "Bacterial small subunit ribosomal RNA", at positions 29 to 523 of the family's 1533-position model. The record is from RNAcentral.
AGUGAACGCUGGCGGUAGGCCUAACACAUGCAAGUCGAACGGCAGCACAGGAGAGCUUGCUCUCUGGGUGGCGAGUGGCGGACGGGUGAGGAAUACAUCGGAAUCUACUCUGUCGUGGGGGAUAACGUAGGGAAACUUACGCUAAUACCGCAUACGACCUACGGGUGAAAGCAGGGGACCUUCGGGCCUUGCGCGAUUGAAUGAGCCGAUGUCGGAUUAGCUAGUUGGCGGGGUAAAGGCCCUCCAAGGCGACGAUCCGUAGCUGGUCUGAGAGGAUGAUCAGCCACACUGGAACUGAGACACGGUCCAGACUCCUACGGGAGGCAGCAGUGGGGAAUAUUGGACAGUGGGCGCAAGCCUGAUCCAGCCAUACCGCGUGGGUGAAGAAGGCCUUCGGGUUGUAAAGCCCUUUUGUUGGGAAAGAAAUCCAGCUGGCUAAUACCCGGUUGGGAUGACGGUACCCAAAGAAUAAGCACCGGCUAACUUCGUGCCAGCAGCCGCGGUAA